AUUGAACGCUGGCGGCAGGCUUAACACAUGCAAGUCGAACGAGUGGCGGACGGGUGAGUAAUGUCUGGGACACUGCCUGGGGGCGGGGGAUAACUACUGGAAACGGUAGCUAAUACCGCAUACCAUCGGAUGUGCCCAGAUGGGAUUAGCUAGGAUGUGGGGUAAAGGCUAACCUAGGCGACGAUCCCUAGCUGGUCUGAGGGGAUGACAAGCCACCCUGGAACUGAGACACGGUCCAGACUCCUACGGUAGGCAGCAGUGGGGAAUGUUGCACAAUGGGCGCAAACCUGAUGCAGCCAUGCCGCGUGUAUUAAGAAGGCCUUCGGGUUGUAAAGUACUUUCAGCGGGGAGGCGUUACCCGCAGAAGAAGCACCGGCUAACUCCGUGCCAGCCGCCGCGGUAAUUC
RNAcentral lists this ribosomal RNA (406 nucleotides) under uncultured bacterium. RNAcentral describes it as "partial 16S ribosomal RNA". It matches the Rfam family "Bacterial small subunit ribosomal RNA", at positions 30 to 526 of the family's 1533-position model. The record is from RNAcentral.